Molecule: small RNA, 291 nt
Filed under: Arabidopsis thaliana (thale cress)
Lineage: Eukaryota; Viridiplantae; Streptophyta; Magnoliopsida; Brassicales; Brassicaceae
Description: ATSL148910
Source: RNAcentral
UUAUAAUUAAAUUUAUUAAAACUUAAUAAAUUUAAAAGUUUUUUUUGUUUGGAGACGCACUAUCUACAUAUAAAAUACCCGUUUCUAUUUUUUUGAGUAUUUUUAGGGCCUGAAACUUUUUAUCCAAACUGACCCAAACCCAACUGGACCCGACCCGAACCAGAUAUUUAGAAUUAUUCUAUUAGGUAGUAAAUCAUAUACCCAUUAAUUCCAAACCCGAACGGGUUCUACCCGAACUCAAAUGGAUUACUCAUAUGUCCAGCCCUAUUCUCUGAUUUAAUUAUCUAAAAA